This is a small nucleolar RNA of Dothistroma septosporum NZE10, 87 nucleotides long. It matches the Rfam family "A. fumigatus snoRNA Afu_264". Lineage: Eukaryota; Fungi; Ascomycota; Dothideomycetes; Mycosphaerellales; Mycosphaerellaceae. The record is from Rfam.
UCAUCACAUGAUGAUUUCCUUCAUAUACUAUUGGCACCUCUUAUGCUAGAGCCUUCGGGCUUCGAUGAUCUAUAUGGACUUCUGAAG